UGCAGUCGAACGGGCCAUUACUCUUUGGAGUGAUGGUUAGUGGCGAACGGGUGAGUAAAAGGUAGGGACCUACCCCGAGGACAGAGAUAGCUACUGGAAACGGUAGGUAAACUCUGAUAAGCCCGAGAGGGGAAAGUGGAAGGCAGCCUUGGGAUGGACCUACUAUCCAUCAGGUAGUUGGUGAGGUAAAGGCUCACCAAGCCGAUGACGGAUAACCGGUGUGAGAGCAUGUACGGUCACAAGGGCACUGAGACACGGGCCCUACUCCUACGGGAGGCAGCAGUGGGGAAUAUUGGACAAUGGGCGAAAGCCUGAUCCAGCGACGCCGCGUGAAGGAAGAAGUCCUUCGGGAUGUAAACUUCUGAACUAAUCGAAUAAAAGGGUAGUGGACACACUACAGAAGAAGGUAGAUUAGGAAAAGUCCCGGCUAACUACGUGCCAGCAGCCGCGGUAAGACGUAGGGGGCGAGCGUUGCCCGGAAUCACUGGGUGUAAAGGGGACGUAGGCGGAUGAUCAAGUCAUCUGUGAAAAGAUUGCUCAACGAUUGGCUUGCGGAUGAAACUGGUCAUCUUGGGCGUAGCAGAGGUAGACGGAAUUACCUGAGUAGGGGUGAAAUCCGCAGAUACAGGUAAGAACGCCGGUGAAGAAGUUGGUCUACUAGGCUACAGCUGACGCUGAGGUCCGAAAGCCAGGGGAGCGAACCGGAUUAGAUACCCGGGUAGUCCUGGCUGUAAACGAUGCUCACUAGGUGUAGGGAGCGAAAGACUCUCUGUGCUGAAGCUAACGCGAUAAGUGAGCCACCUGGGGAGUACGUCCGCAAGGAUGAAACUCAAAGGAAUUGACGGGGGUCCGCACAAGCGGUGGAGCAUGUGGUUUAAUUCGAAGCUAACCGAAGAACCUUACCAGGGAUUGACAUGUAACUGAAGGUAGAGAAAUCUACUGGCCUGCCGUGAGGUAGGAGGUUACACAGGUGGUGCACGGUCGUCGUCAGCUCGUGCCGUGAGGUGUUGGGUUAAGUCCCACAACGAGCGCAACCCCUACAAUUAGUUACCAGCAAGUAAAGUUGGGGACACUAAUUGGACAGCCGCCGACGAGGCGGAGGAAGGAGGGGAUGACGUCAGAUAAGCGUGCCCCUUAUACUCUGGGCGACACACGUGCUACAAUGGGGAGGACAAAGGGAAGCGAAGCCGAGAGGUGGAGCGGAUCCGAAAAAACUCUCCGUAAUAUGGAUUGUAGGCUGAAACUCGCCUACAUGAAGCUGGAAUCGCUAGUAAUCGCAGGUCAGCCAAACUGCGGUGAAUACGUUCCCGGGCCUUGUACACACCGCCCGUCACGCCACCCGAGUUGGGAACACCUGAAGGCAGUACGGAAGGUAC
This 1376-nucleotide ribosomal RNA is filed under the name uncultured bacterium. RNAcentral describes it as "bacterial SSU rRNA". It matches the Rfam family "Bacterial small subunit ribosomal RNA". The record is from RNAcentral.